This 336-nucleotide ribosomal RNA is filed under the name uncultured bacterium. RNAcentral's name for it is "bacterial SSU rRNA". It matches the Rfam family "Bacterial small subunit ribosomal RNA", at positions 20 to 349 of the family's 1533-position model. The record is from RNAcentral.
UGGCUCAGAACGAACGCUGGCGGCGCGCUUAACACAUGCAAGUCGAGCGAGAACCAGGCCUUCGGGCCUGGGGACAGCGGCGAACGGGUGAGUAACACGUGGGUAAUCAACCCUCGACACUGGGAUAGCCCGGGGAAACCCGGAUUAAUACCGGAUGGCCCUUUGGAUCCUCGGAUCUGACGGGAAAGGUAGCUUCGGCCUCCGGUCGAGGACGAGCCCGCGGCGGAUUAGCUUGUUGGUGAGGUAACGGCCCACCAAGGCGACGGUCAAAAGCUGGUCUGAGAGGACGAUCAGCCACACUGGGACUGUUUCCCGGCCCAGACGACUACGGGAGGC